Non-coding RNA from Podarcis lilfordi (Lilford's wall lizard), 74 nucleotides. The record is from the annotation of a GenBank genome assembly. Lineage: Eukaryota; Metazoa; Chordata; Lepidosauria; Squamata; Lacertidae.
UUUGAUAGCUCAGUUGGUAGAGCAUGAGACUCUUAAUUUCAGGGUAAUGGGUUCAUGCUCCACGUUGGUCAAAA